GAUGAACGCUGGCGGCGUGCCUAAUACAUGCAAGUCGAGCGAACAGACGAGGAGCUUGCUCCUCUUACGUUAGCGGCGGACGGGUGAGUAACACGUGGAUAACCUACCUAUAAGACUGGGAUAACUUCGGGAAACCGGAGCUAAUACCGGAUAAUAUAUUGAACCGCAUGGUUCAAUAGUGAAAGACGGUUUUGCUGUCACUUAUAGAUGGAUCCGCGCCGAAUUAGCUAGUUGGUAAGGUAACGGCUUACCAAGGCAACGAUGCGUAGCCGACCUGAGAGGGUGAUCGGCCACACUGGAACUGAGACACGGUCCAGACUCCUACGGGAGGCAGCAGUAGGGAAUCUUCGGCAAUGGGCGAAAGCCUGACGGAGCAACGCCGCGUGAGUGAUGAAGGUCUUCGGAUCGUAAAACUCCGUUAUUAGGGAAGAACAAAUGUGUAAGUAAAUAUGCACGUCUUGACGGUACCUAAUCAGAAAGCCACGGCUAACUACGUG
Molecule: ribosomal RNA, 497 nt
Filed under: uncultured bacterium
Lineage: Bacteria
Description: partial 16S ribosomal RNA
Rfam family: Bacterial small subunit ribosomal RNA
Source: RNAcentral